Brassica rapa (field mustard) is the source of this 1191-nucleotide long non-coding RNA. RefSeq lists it as uncharacterized. NCBI's taxonomy places the organism in Eukaryota, Viridiplantae, Streptophyta, Magnoliopsida, Brassicales, Brassicaceae. The record is from RefSeq and is a predicted model, not a curated record.
UGUGGUUUUAGGAAUUAGGAUUGAGAUAGUGGAAACUAGAAUUGCUAGGUUGCUUGGGUAGCACUGUUAGGUUGCUGGUUAGAAUUACGGUUAGGUUGCAUUGUUAGUAUUUGCUGGGUUAGUAGAUUAUGUGAUUAAUUGUCUACUAACUUGCAUGUGAGGUGUUCUUUUGAGUUGCAGCGAGUAAGUGCGUUUGUUGAUCGGUACUUUAAGGGAUGAAAACCUUAAAGUGGAGGGAGUUCGAGGCAAAACCCAAACACGAAGCGAAAGAGGAGAGACAGAUUCAGAGAACUGGGCUGUGGUAUGGACUGGACAGAUGGGAAGAAACAAGACUUCGUUGGGAAAGGACUUCAUCAGUACUUGGGAAGACGAAGAUCGAGAAGGAUUUGAGGAAUCUGGACAAGGAUGAUAUCUAUCAAAAUGACAAGAUAGUAUCAUGGGCGAUGAGUGUGUUAUGACAGAGUAAAAGCAAGAGGACGACUCAGUCAUCAUACAAGUGAAGAGAUAUAAAGACAAUUGUGGAGGCCUUGAAGAGGACACUGAAGGAACCGUGGUGGACAGAGUAAAGAGGUUAUGGAGACGACUGGAGAGUGUUGUGAAGACGAGCAAUUUCGCAACUAAGAAUUCGAGGACAAAUUCUAUUAAGGGGGGGGGAGAGAAUGUAGAAACCCGUUAAAAAAAAAAGAAGAAUGGUCGAGUAUUUGUGGUCAUCGAGUCGCGGGCGAUAAGGAUCGAUCGAAAACCUUUGAAGUACGAGGUGGACGAAGAAGUGAUCCUGAGUGAACUAUGAGUCGAAUAAGUUGCUCGACCAUAGUUAGAAGAUGUCUUAGAUUGAUGAGACGGACGUUUUGGAAGCAUAACAUUUUUGGAAGCACGACGGUAUAGAAGCUCGACGUUUUGGAAGAAUGACGUUUCUUCAGCACGAAGUUUUCCGCGAAACUUCGUAUCAGCGGAAUAUUAUUUCGAAGACAUUGGAAACAUGAUGGGAAUUAAGCACGACGGGAAGCAAGCACGACGAGAAGCAAGCACGACGGAAUCGAAGCACGACGGGAAAACCCGAAAUUGGACGAAAACCCUAAUUUCGAUAUUAUGAAAUUUUUCGAGGAAGCCGGAGGCUCAGGACAUAUUUUCCCUCAACUUCAGAGAUCAAGUGGAGUUUAUUAAAAUUGUUCCGAGCUUCAGAAAGGGUGU